UUCCGUAGGGGAACCUGCGGAGGGAUCAUUACACAAAUAUGAAGGCGGGCUGGAAUCUCUCGGGGUUACAGCCUUGCUGAAUUAUUCACCCUUGUCUUUUGCGUACUUCUUGUUUCCUUGGUGGGUUCGCCCACCACUAGGACAAACAUAAACCUUUUGUAAUUGCAAUCAGCGUCAGUAACAAAUUAAUAAUUACAACUUUCAACAACGGAUCUCUUGGUUCUGGCAUCGAUGAAGAACGCAGCGAAAUGCGAUAAGUAGUGUGAAUUGCAGAAUUCAGUGAAUCAUCGAAUCUUUGAACGCACAUUGCGCCCUUUGGUAUUCCAAAGGGCAUGCCUGUUCGAGCGUCAUUUGUACCCUCAAGCUUUGCUUGGUGUUGGGCGUCUUGUCUCUAGCUUUGCUGGAGACUCGCCUUAAAGUAAUUGGCAGCCGGCCUACUGGUUUCGGAGCGCAGCACAAGUCGCACUCUCUAUCAGCAAAGGUCUAGCAUCCAUUAAGCCUUUUUUCAACUUUUGACCUCGGAUCAGUGUCA
Molecule: ribosomal RNA, 532 nt
Filed under: Alternaria sp. JF-Alt28
Lineage: Eukaryota; Fungi; Ascomycota; Dothideomycetes; Pleosporales; Pleosporaceae
Description: eukaryotic LSU rRNA
Rfam family: 5.8S ribosomal RNA (bases 197-350)
Source: RNAcentral